RNAcentral lists this long non-coding RNA (1362 nucleotides) under Canis lupus familiaris (dog). Its description in RNAcentral is "lncRNA (ENSCAFG00845026998.1)". The record is from RNAcentral. Lineage: Eukaryota; Metazoa; Chordata; Mammalia; Carnivora; Canidae.
UCUGCCAUUCAAGAGGGAAGAAAAAAAAAAUCCUCAUUGAUAGUUUGACAAAUAAAAAUACAAGUGGCUUUGGGGGAAAUUUUUUUUUUUUUUAAGCACUCUCUGUGGAUUCUAGGUAGCCAACACCAAGGUAUACUGUCCCCUGCCAGUGGAACGCUGCGUGUCUCCUGCAAAUGACUUUGACAACUGCAUUAACGGAGUAAAACACCCCAGUUCUCAGGGAGAAAAAAAAAGCCCUGUGGUGAAGUCCUGCGAAGGAGGAGGCCUGUUUGCUGAGCCCCUGAGCCUCAUUGCUUUGGAGCAUCCUAAAGGGUGAACUCGUCUGAGAGCAAUCUUAUUUUAAAAAAGAAAAAAAAAAUCCCUUGAGACAGCCUUUCAUUUUUGGGCAGAAGCUAAGGAACUUCUGUGCCAGGAGAUUUUUCUUUUAGGGUUUAGCCACAGUGUUUUGGAAGUGUGAAAAUAUUCCAUUACCAAGAACAUCCCUUGAAGUACAGCGCACAGCUCUGGUCUCCAGUAUGUGGUCGCAAGCCUUGUUAAUUGUGGAGUUAGCCUAGGAGAGAAGAACAUCCUGCCAUGUGGCUCCUACUGCAACGAGUUCCCUUUGCUGUGGAAGUUAGAAGAUUUCCGCGUCCAUCAGCUGAGUGGCCUUGAGCUGCUUGCUCACCAUCUCAGAGUUGUUUCUCUAUGUACAGCCACCUCCCCAUGUUCAGGCACCCCUGGAAACUGUAGAGCAUUGUUCAAGGCUGGUGCUACAUGAAGGAUAUGAGCCAUCCAUCCUGUGAGAUCCUUUCCAAGCCUGGAGUUUGAGCAUCUGGAUCCCCAGAAUCGAACCCCUACUUUCAUAACAAAAAGUGAACCUGAAAACAUCUUGGGAAAUGGGAACUGAGAUAACAAACCUACAGUUCACCAGGAAUUUGCCCAACAUGGCUUACUGUGUGGUGUACGGACAAUAAAGACGAACCGGCCUUGGGUCACAAGGGUUGUUAAAAGACGACCAGCAGCUGUUCCCAUUUCUCAUGAGGCCAGGGGAGGAAAUGGGUUUACACUGGAGUGGGAGGGAUUUAGACUGGCAUAUGAAAGGAUUUCUGACUCAAGAUAAUGCUUUCUCAUGAAUAGAACAAUCACAUCUCCCUCUCCUGUUAUUUAAAAGCACAGAAUCUGGUGUCUUCCAAUGGCAGGUUAGAGACAAGUGGUUCCCAGGGGCCCAGAGCCACAGGAUGCCUCCUUUUAAUAUUUCAAAAAGCCUGGGAUGCAUCUGCCUUUGGCUCAGGGGGUGAUCCCAGGAUCUGGGAUUAAGUCCCACAGUGGGCUCCUUGCAUGGAGCCUGUUUCUCCCUCUGCCUGGGUCUCUGCCUCUCUCUCU